AACGAACGCUGGCGGCAGGCUUAACACAUGCAAGUCGAGCGCCCCGCAAGGGGAGCGGCAGACGGGUGAGUAACGCGUGGGAACGCACCUUUUGGUUCGGAACAACUCCGGGAAACUGGAGCUAAUACCGGAUAAGCCCUAACGGGGAAAGAUUUAUCGCCGAAAGAUCGGCCCGCGUCUGAUUAGCUAGUUGGUGAGGUAACGGCUCACCAAGGCGACGAUCAGUAGCUGGUCUGAGAGGAUGAUCAGCCACACUGGGACUGAGACACGGCCCAGACUCCUACGGGAGGCAGCAGUGGGGAAUAUUGGACAAUGGGCGCAAGCCUGAUCCAGCCAUGCCGCGUGAGUGAUGAAGGCCUUAGGGUUGUAAAGCUCUUUUGUCCGGGAAGAUAAUGACUGUACCGGAAGAAUAAGCCCCGGCUAACUUCGUG
RNAcentral lists this ribosomal RNA (431 nucleotides) under uncultured bacterium. Its description in RNAcentral is "partial 16S ribosomal RNA". It matches the Rfam family "Bacterial small subunit ribosomal RNA", at positions 29 to 507 of the family's 1533-position model. The record is from RNAcentral.